GGGAUCAGCCCUUUUGCGAACGAAGUGAGCCAAAAGGGUUGAGGAAAGUCCGCCCACCUAAACAGGCCACUUCCUGAAGGAAGACGGAGAAAUUCCGUGUCUCUGGCUCAGAAACGACACGUCCAUAAUCGAGGAUGAUUGAAUGGCGAAGCGCAUUGAGAAAUGUGCGAGUUAACCCCUUGACGUUGAUUAUGGGACCGAUGAAACGGCGAACACUGGC
RNAcentral lists this RNase P RNA (220 nucleotides) under Nanobdellota archaeon. RNAcentral describes it as "partial RNase P RNA component". It matches the Rfam family "Archaeal RNase P", at positions 1 to 203 of the family's 288-position model. From Rfam's summary of the family: Ribonuclease P (RNase P) is a ubiquitous endoribonuclease, found in archaea, bacteria and eukarya as well as chloroplasts and mitochondria. The record is from RNAcentral. Lineage: Archaea; Nanobdellati; Nanobdellota.